GAUAUCCUUUGGAUGAGUAGAAACAAUCAUCCAUGCUCAAUACUCUCAGAUGCAGUGCGCAUGUAACGCACUAGUUUCUGUCCAACGUUAGUCCUUGCAUGUUUUUAUCUCAUUUUUAUAAUUAAUUUUAUCAAAAAAUAUUUAAUUGAAAGGCUCGGGAAUAAAUAAGAAAAUAAAUAAUUUUAAUUUCAUUUAUCUGAUGGGGG
Molecule: long non-coding RNA, 206 nt
Filed under: Elaeis guineensis (African oil palm)
Lineage: Eukaryota; Viridiplantae; Streptophyta; Magnoliopsida; Arecales; Arecaceae
Description: long non-coding RNA (EGUI_LNC000266)
Source: RNAcentral